RNAcentral lists this non-coding RNA (48 nucleotides) under unclassified sequences. RNAcentral's name for it is "gut-2 RNA". It matches the Rfam family "gut-2 RNA". From Rfam's summary of the family: gut metagenomes. Environment (Cow rumen (57)) The record is from Rfam by way of RNAcentral.
GACCUCGCUCUAAGUGGUGAGCGGGAAGAGCUGAGUGGAGCUGAUAGG